RNAcentral lists this non-coding RNA (45 nucleotides) under Schistosoma mattheei. The record is from RNAcentral. Lineage: Eukaryota; Metazoa; Platyhelminthes; Trematoda; Strigeidida; Schistosomatidae.
AUCCAUCUGACAAUUCUCAAAUAGGACUAAACACGCGUCCUGGAU